This 364-nucleotide transfer-messenger RNA is filed under the name Aquisalimonas sp. 2447. It matches the Rfam family "transfer-messenger RNA". From Rfam's summary of the family: Bacterial tmRNA, also known as 10Sa RNA or SsrA, is named for its dual tRNA and mRNA-like properties. Its role is to liberate the mRNA from a stalled ribosome. To accomplish this part of the tmRNA is used as a reading frame that ends in a translation stop signal. RNAcentral also lists the same sequence under 1 other name. Lineage: Bacteria; Pseudomonadati; Pseudomonadota; Gammaproteobacteria; Chromatiales; Ectothiorhodospiraceae. The record is from Rfam by way of RNAcentral.
GGGGGUGUCAUGGUCUCGACGUGGGUCGUGAAACCUGAGGUGCAUGCCGAGGACGUCAUCUCACCUCGUAAAACAUGAUGGCCAACUUAAAAUAGUUGCCAACGACGAAAACUACGCUCUAGCGGCCUAAAUCCCGCUAGCCCCCGACCGGCAAGUGCCUGUGCUUCCGACUCGGGGGUCGUAGCUCACAGGACCGCAGCGAGGGGGUUCCGCCUGCACCCCACGCUGUUAAAUCAAUCAGGCUAGUUGAGCGUGUUCCGCUGCCUGCCGGGAAGCGCUCGGCGAAUGCAAUAGGCGGGCUAAGCAUGUAGAUCCGACGGUGGAUCUCCCGCGGACGGGGGUUCGAAUCCCCCCACCUCCACCA